RNAcentral lists this ribosomal RNA (117 nucleotides) under SAR202 cluster bacterium Ae2-Chloro-G2. Lineage: Bacteria; Bacillati; Chloroflexota; Dehalococcoidia. RNAcentral also lists the same sequence under 1 other name. The record is from RNAcentral.
CCUGGUGGUAUAAGCGAGUAUGACCCACCCGUUCCCAUCCCGAACACGGAAGUGAAACUACUCAGCACUGACGAUACUGCGCUGGUAACGGCGUGGGAAAAUAGGCCACUGCCAGGG